GGGAGCUUGCUCCUUGAUUCAGCGGCGGACGGGUGAGUAAUGCCUAGGAAUCUGCCUGGUAGUGGGGGACAACGUUUCGAAAGGAACGCUAAUACCGCAUACGUCCUACGGGAGAAAGCAGGGGACCUUCGGGCCUUGCGCUAUCAGAUGAGCCUAGGUCGGAUUAGCUAGUUGGUGGGGUAAUGGCUCACCAAGGCGACGAUCCGUAACUGGUCUGAGAGGAUGAUCAGUCACACUGGAACUGAGACACGGUCCAGACUCCUACGGGAGGCAGCAGUGGGGAAUAUUGGACAAUGGGCGAAAGCCUGAUCCAGCCAUGCCGCGUGUGUG
This 330-nucleotide ribosomal RNA is filed under the name Pseudomonas monteilii. RNAcentral describes it as "bacterial SSU rRNA". It matches the Rfam family "Bacterial small subunit ribosomal RNA", at positions 74 to 407 of the family's 1533-position model. The record is from RNAcentral. Lineage: Bacteria; Pseudomonadati; Pseudomonadota; Gammaproteobacteria; Pseudomonadales; Pseudomonadaceae.